GGUUAAGUCCCGCAACGAGCGCAACCCCUACGUUUAGUUGCUAACGCGUGAAGGCGAGCACUCUAGACGAACUGCCGUUGACAAAACGGAGGAAGGUGGGGAUGACGUCAAAUCAUCAUGCCCCUUAUGUUCUGGGCUACACACGUGCUACAAUGGCCGGUACAGACGGAGGCGAAGCCGCGAGGCGGAGCAAAUCCGAAAAAGCCGGUCUCAGUUCGGAUUGCAGGCUGCAAUUCGCCUGCAUGAAGUCGGAAUCGCUAGUAAUCGCAGGUCAGCAUACUGCGGUCGAAUACGUUCCCGGGCCUU
RNAcentral lists this ribosomal RNA (306 nucleotides) under uncultured Pelotomaculum sp. RNAcentral's name for it is "bacterial SSU rRNA". It matches the Rfam family "Bacterial small subunit ribosomal RNA", at positions 1078 to 1382 of the family's 1533-position model. Lineage: Bacteria; Bacillati; Bacillota; Clostridia; Eubacteriales; Desulfotomaculaceae. The record is from RNAcentral.